GGAGACGUGGCUGAGUGGCCGAAAGCAGCCGCCUGCUAAGCGGUUAGGGGCUGAAAGGUCCCUCCCGAGUUCGAAUCUCGGCGUCUCCGCCA
RNAcentral lists this transfer RNA (92 nucleotides) under Actinobacteria bacterium RBG_19FT_COMBO_70_19. RNAcentral describes it as "tRNA-Ser". It matches the Rfam family "tRNA". Rfam says of the family: Transfer RNA (tRNA) molecules are approximately 80 nucleotides in length. Lineage: Bacteria; Bacillati; Actinomycetota. The record is from RNAcentral.